This 253-nucleotide ribosomal RNA is filed under the name uncultured bacterium. Its description in RNAcentral is "partial 16S ribosomal RNA". It matches the Rfam family "Bacterial small subunit ribosomal RNA", at positions 524 to 776 of the family's 1533-position model. The record is from RNAcentral.
UACGUAGGGGGCAAGCGUUGUCCGGAUUUAUUGGGCGUAAAGAGCGUGUAGGCGGCUUGACAGGUCUGCUGUGAAAACUCGAGGCUCAACCUCGAGAUGUCGGCGGAAACCGUCUGGCUAGAGUCCGGAAGAGGAGAGUGGAAUUCCUGGUGUAGCGGUGAAAUGCGCAAAUAUCAGGAAGAACACCUAUGGCGAAGGCAGCUCUCUGGGACGGUACUGACGCUGAGACGCGAAAGCGUGGGGAGCGAACAGG